UAAAGAAAAAUUUCCAAAUUC
This 21-nucleotide non-coding RNA is filed under the name Caenorhabditis elegans. Lineage: Eukaryota; Metazoa; Nematoda; Chromadorea; Rhabditida; Rhabditidae. The record is from RNAcentral.